AUGAUGGUGGCCUACCUCGGAUGUUUUCCCAACAUUGACACGCUGCACGUCGAGUCUAUAACUGAACGCACUGGAAAAAACCAUGCCAAGUUCUGGCAGGAGCUCCCUACUGUUGAAUGCAUCAAGUCGCACGUCAAGAAGAUGGUUUUCCAUAAAUAUAGAGGGAAACGAAGUGAGCUUGAAUUCCUUAAGUUCAUUUCCAGGAAAGCGCAAGAGCUACAGACAUUGUAUGUUCUGCUAAACAGACAGAGUCUUACUUCGGUGGCCAAGCAGACAGAGAUGACAGGCAAAUUGGUGGCUCUCUCGGAGGUAGCAUGGAGCUGCGAUUGCAAGAUAAUGGUGCUAGGCCCUGAAUUUCAGAGUAAAUGGAGCAUCCAGAAAGCAUCUGAUCUUACUGUCGACGACCCUUUUCACUACUGA
This 420-nucleotide ribosomal RNA is filed under the name Triticum aestivum (bread wheat). RNAcentral's name for it is "partial small subunit ribosomal RNA". Lineage: Eukaryota; Viridiplantae; Streptophyta; Magnoliopsida; Poales; Poaceae. The record is from RNAcentral.